This 301-nucleotide ribosomal RNA is filed under the name uncultured bacterium. RNAcentral's name for it is "partial 16S ribosomal RNA". It matches the Rfam family "Bacterial small subunit ribosomal RNA", at positions 509 to 807 of the family's 1533-position model. The record is from RNAcentral.
CAGUCGCCGCGGGAAUACGAAAGGGGCUAGCGUUGCUCGGAAUUACUGGGCGUAAAGGGAGCGUAGGCGGACAUUUAAGUCAGGGGUGAAAUCCCAGAGCUCAACUCUGGAACUGCCUUUGAUACUGGGUGUCUUGAGUGUGAUAGAGGUAUGUGGAACUCCGAGUGUAGAGGUGAAAUUCGUAGAUAUUCGGAAGAACACCAGUGGCGAAGGCGACAUACUGGAUCAUUACUGACGCUGAGGCUCGAAAGCGUGGGGAGCAAACAGGAUUAGAUACCCCAGUAGUCCCUGUCUCUUAUAC